AUUGAACGCUGGCGGCAUGCCUUACACAUGCAAGUCGAACGGCAGCGCGGGAGCAAUCCUGGCGGCGAGUGGCGAACGGGUGAGUAAUAUAUCGGAACGUGCCCAGUAGUGGGGGAUAGCCCGGCGAAAGCCGGAUUAAUACCGCAUACGACCUGAGGGUGAAAGCGGGGGAUCGCAAGACCUCGCGCUAUUGGAGCGGCCGAUAUCAGAUUAGCUAGUUGGUGGGGUAAAGGCCUACCAAGGCAACGAUCUGUAGUUGGUCUGAGAGGACGACCAGCCACACUGGGACUGAGACACGGCCCAGACUCCUACGGGAGGCAGCAGUGGGGAAUUUUGGACAAUGGGCGCAAGCCUGAUCCAGCAAUGCCGCGUGCAGGAAGAAGGCCUC
Molecule: ribosomal RNA, 388 nt
Filed under: uncultured bacterium
Lineage: Bacteria
Description: bacterial SSU rRNA
Rfam family: Bacterial small subunit ribosomal RNA
Source: RNAcentral